UCCUAACAGCUCUAUGAAGGAAAUACGAUCUACACUGAGCUAGUCGAAGCUUGGGGAAGAAUUUUGUCUAAAGCUCAACAGCUGAAAGGGGUUGAUGAGCCAGCUUUAUUCUAAAUGACUGAAGACUUCUGUUCUUUUCAACAAACACAGUCCUCCAAUUAGGAGCCGCAAAUAAGAUUAUAUGCCCUGAAUAAGUCUGAAAAGGUCCUUUUAUAAUUAGAAAGUUUGUGUGUGGGAAGUGGAAGCAGCAUUAAGUGCUCACUGUGGCUUUAUUAAGAGAGUGACAUGAAGAUUUCCCAAAUCCUCCUCGGAGUGCUCUAAAAUGAUAAAAAUAAAAAUUAUAGAAAAC
RNAcentral lists this long non-coding RNA (349 nucleotides) under Mustela putorius furo (domestic ferret). Its description in RNAcentral is "lncRNA (ENSMPUG00000026952.1)". Lineage: Eukaryota; Metazoa; Chordata; Mammalia; Carnivora; Mustelidae. The record is from RNAcentral.